This 117-nucleotide non-coding RNA is filed under the name Nomascus leucogenys (northern white-cheeked gibbon). The record is from Rfam by way of RNAcentral. Lineage: Eukaryota; Metazoa; Chordata; Mammalia; Primates; Hylobatidae.
GCCGGGCGUGGUGGCUCACGCCUGUAAUCCUAGCACUCUGGGAGGCCGAGGCGGGCGGAUCACCUGAGGUCAGGAGCUCGUGACCAGCCUGGCCAACAUGGUGAAACUCUGUCUCUA